RNAcentral lists this ribosomal RNA (489 nucleotides) under uncultured bacterium. RNAcentral describes it as "bacterial SSU rRNA". It matches the Rfam family "Bacterial small subunit ribosomal RNA", at positions 26 to 521 of the family's 1533-position model. The record is from RNAcentral.
AGGACGAACGCUGGCGGCGUGCCUAACACAUGCAAGUCGAGCGAAGCAUAAAGAUUAGCUUGCUAACCUUUAUGACUGAGCGGCGAACGGGUGAGUAACCCGUGGGUAAUCUACCUGGAAGACCGGGAUAACAGUUCGAAAGGACUGUUAAUACCGGAUGAUACCAUUAACGCAAGUUAAUGGUCAAAGGCGUUAUGUAGCGCUUUCAGAUGAGCCCGCGUCCCAUUAGCUAGUUGGCAGGGUAAAGGCCUACCAAGGCGACGAUGGGUAGCCGGUCUGAGAGGAUGGUCGGCCACACUGGGACAUGAGACACGGCCCAGACUCUUACGGGAGGCAGCAGUGGGGAAUUUUGCGCAAUGGGGGCAACCCUGACGCAGCGACGUCGCGUGAGUGAAGAAUGCCUUCGGGUUGUAAAGCUCUGUCUAGGGGGAAGAUAAUGACGGUACCCCUGGAGGAAGCCCCGGCUAAUUACGUGCCAGCAGCCGCGGU